Molecule: ribosomal RNA, 440 nt
Filed under: uncultured bacterium
Lineage: Bacteria
Description: partial 16S ribosomal RNA
Rfam family: Bacterial small subunit ribosomal RNA
Source: RNAcentral
CCUACGGGGAGCUGCAGUGGGGAAUAUUGCACAAUGGGGGAAACCCUGAUGCAGCAACGCCGCGUGGGUGAAGGAGCGUUUCGGCGCGUAAAGCCCUUUCAGCGGGGAAGCAGAAAGACGGUACCCGACCGAGAAGCCCCGGCUAACUACGUGCCAGCAGCCGCGGUAAUACGUAGGGGGCGAGCGUUAUCCGGAAUUACUGGGUGUAAAGGGAGCGUAGACGGCCAGGUAGGCCUGAGGUGGAAGCACGGGUCCCAACCCCGGAACGCCUUUGGAACUGUUUUGCUUGAGUAUGGGAGGGGUAAGCGGAAUGCGUGGUGUAGCGGUGAAAUGCGUAGAUAUCAGGCGGAACACCGGUGGCGAAGGCGGCUUACUGGACCAUAACUGACGUUGAGGCUCGAAAGCGUGGGGAGCGAACAGGAUUAGAUACCCGGGUAGUC